GACCAGAGCAGCAAAGCCCUGCAGGACCAAUGCAAUGCUAAAGGGCCACAGCCUGCAGCUGACUCACUGAUCUGCAGGAACCAGCAGAAUUGUGUCGUCUCUCCUGUUUCAUGUUGUCAUACCUCCUGUACACCGAAAGUAUUGAUGAGUGAUUAAAAACAACCUUCCUGUGUACGCUCAAUGAGAUUCUGAUUAUAAUGUUUGUCUAAGAAAAUAGUGUUUUCUUUCUGUAGUGAUUUUUACAAAGCGCAUUGUUACAGAGCAACAUUACACAAGUCCGGGCCUGUACUUUACUGGCUGUAGAUUACAUCUCUUGAAAAAUAUCACUGAAAAAAAUAUUGUUUGUAGAUUUGAAUUUUUGGUGUAUUGUUUUUUUAAUAUUUUUUGUUAUAUUUGGGAAAUAUAAAAUCCCACAUUUUUAAAAUGUUUCUCUUGAUGGUUUUGUGAGUUUAUUUUCCCCUAGGUGAAAUAGCUCUGCAUAUUCUGUACAUUUUCUAAAUAAAACAUGUCAUUACGAUGUA
Molecule: long non-coding RNA, 521 nt
Organism: Conger conger (European conger)
Lineage: Eukaryota; Metazoa; Chordata; Actinopteri; Anguilliformes; Congridae
Exons: 2
Source: RefSeq, a predicted model, not a curated record